RNAcentral lists this non-coding RNA (100 nucleotides) under Pontibacillus halophilus. Its description in RNAcentral is "TPP sequence". It matches the Rfam family "TPP riboswitch aptamer (THI element)". Rfam says of the family: Vitamin B(1) in its active form thiamin pyrophosphate (TPP) is an essential coenzyme that is synthesised by coupling of pyrimidine and thiazole moieties in bacteria. The previously detected thiamin-regulatory element, thi box was extended, resulting in a new, highly conserved RNA secondary structure, the THI element, which is widely distributed in eubacteria and also occurs in some archaea. The record is from RNAcentral. RNAcentral also lists the same sequence under 1 other name. Lineage: Bacteria; Bacillati; Bacillota; Bacilli; Caryophanales; Bacillaceae.
GAGAUUAGCUAGGGGAGCCGGUUACGGCUGAGAGGACACUGUCUGACCCUUUGAACCUGAUCUGGGUAACACCAGCGGAGGGAAGCAUUCGACCGUCAUC